GUUAAAAUCUAAACGUAAAUUUGUCGUCAUCUUUUAAUUCGCGGCCUUGAGCUUUUGACCCAAAGAGGUGUUGGGAGUCUCAAGGGCAGACUAAAUGGAGCAAACACUUGUCUUUGGAGCCCAAGCCCUGACCUUAAAGAUGUAAACUCAAUUGUCUACACCCGAGGAUAUUGUGAUAGUCAGAGGCUUAACAGUGGUGUCCUUAACAACAUUUGCUCAAAGACCACGGAGGGAAAGAAGCCAUAAGUCCGACUCCAGUCAAAGGGAACACAAAUGCGGGGAGCAGUUUACCUUGGCCGUCACUGCCCCACCAGUCAAGGCUCUUAGCCCUUUUAUCUCUUCUUGUGCUUGUUUUCCGUAUUUGCAUGUAUCCCAAGUACUGUCACCUUUCGUUCCAAAAUGUGUAAUAAACACUGGCUAGAUAUUGAGAAAGCAAAAA
Long non-coding RNA from Suricata suricatta (meerkat), 439 nucleotides. RefSeq lists it as uncharacterized. NCBI's taxonomy places the organism in Eukaryota, Metazoa, Chordata, Mammalia, Carnivora, Herpestidae. The record is from RefSeq and is a predicted model, not a curated record. The transcript has 2 exons.